CUGCCUGUGUUGGUCCACAGGAAGCAGUCCCUUCACUUGAACUUCUCGGCCUUCUGGACGACUGAUGCUGCCCGAACUCGAGGACCCCCAUCACCCUCGCUGAGCCCAGGGUAAUGCUGCAGGUAGCAGAUACCUUUUCUGGAUGGAUUGAAGCCUUUCCCACCUCCAGGGAAACCGCAGACACGGUGCCCUCCCUCUUAAUCCAGGAGAUUAUCCCUCAUUUCGGCUUACCUGGAAACAUUCAGUCAGACAACGGUCCGGCGUUUACAGCCCGGGUGGUCCAGUAAGUCGCCAAGUCUCUCAACAUCUCCUGGAAACUACACAUCCCCUACCACCCUCAGUCGUCGGGUAAAGUUGAACGGGCUCACGGCAUCCUCAAGAAUCAUUUGGCCAAACUCACCAUAGAGGUAAAACUCUCCUGGCCCACACUCCUACCUCUUGCUCUAGCCCGGAUCCGAGCCACCCCAUGGGAGCCAACAGGUCUCAGUCCCUUUGAGUUGCUAUAUGGCAGGCCUUUUCUAGUUUCUCACCAUCUCCCGGUACAACCACGUCCUCUGGCUUC
Long non-coding RNA from Sapajus apella (tufted capuchin), 562 nucleotides. RefSeq lists it as uncharacterized. The record is from RefSeq and is a predicted model, not a curated record. NCBI's taxonomy places the organism in Eukaryota, Metazoa, Chordata, Mammalia, Primates, Cebidae. The transcript is spliced from 3 exons.